Molecule: ribosomal RNA, 330 nt
Filed under: uncultured eukaryote
Lineage: Eukaryota
Description: partial 18S ribosomal RNA
Rfam family: Eukaryotic small subunit ribosomal RNA
Source: RNAcentral
CCCUUAGAUGUCCUGGGCCGCACGCGCGUUACACUGAUGCAUUCAACGAGCUUAUAACCUUGGCCGAGAGGCCUGGGCAAUCUUGUUAACGUGCAUCGUGAUAGGGAUAGAUUAUUGAAAUUAUUAAUCUUGAACGAGGAAUUCCUAGUAAACGCAGAUCAUCAAUCUGCAUUGAUUACGUCCCUGCCCUUUGUACACACCGCCCGUCGCACCUACCGAUUGGAUGGUCCGGUGAAUCUUUAGGACUGUGGCUGAGGCCUUGCCUUGUGCGGGUCUGGCCGUGGGAAUUUAGUUAAACCUUACCAUUUAGAGGAAGGUGAANUCGUANCA